UUUCCCUUAUCUUAUUUCAAAACAUUGGGGACAAUGUUCGAUUUAAGUGUGGGAGGAGACUCUAUCGUCUUUUCUUUAUUGCUUUUCUCGUCUUUCCUUUAUCGUUUUUCUUUUCUGUUUUUAGAUAGUUUGUUUAUUUUUUCUUUAGUUGUUUACUUUGCUUUUUAGUAUAAUGAAUGAGUCUGACGAGUCACCAAAUAUAGUAUAUCUUU
Molecule: long non-coding RNA, 212 nt
Filed under: Lathyrus oleraceus (garden pea)
Lineage: Eukaryota; Viridiplantae; Streptophyta; Magnoliopsida; Fabales; Fabaceae
Description: Pisum sativum (pea) long non-coding RNA (PSAT_LNC020027)
Source: RNAcentral